GACGGAUGGUUCAAGCUUUGUUCGGAAUCACUGGGCGAAAAGCGCGUGUAGGCGGUUCGAUAAGUCGGACGUGAAAGCCCGGGGCUUAACCCCGGAAGGGCAUCCGAAACUGUCGAGCUUGAGUACGGGAGAGGGAAGCGGAAUUCCUGGUGGAGAGGUGAAAUUCGUAGAUAGCAGGAGGAACACCGGUGGCGAAGGCGGCUUCCUGGACCGAUACUGACGCGGAGACGCGACAGCGGGGGGAGAAAACAGGAUUAGAUAACACCGUAGUCC
Molecule: ribosomal RNA, 273 nt
Filed under: uncultured bacterium
Lineage: Bacteria
Description: partial 16S ribosomal RNA
Rfam family: Bacterial small subunit ribosomal RNA
Source: RNAcentral